CAGAAGGGGGGAAGAAAGGGUGAAACCCUACUUGUUCAAUCAAGGUCAAAAUUCAGCAAAUUAAUGGUGGUUCUUGACACAAAUCGAAUGCAUGUGCUUGAUUACUCACUAAUCUAAGUAUUCUGAUCAUAAGGAGUCAUGUCAAUAGGGACACGAAUAUGGAAGCGCUUCGGGUCGAAGGUAAACACGGAAGCCACAUGUAAAUUGGACGUACGAGGUAAGUAAACUCCCGGACUCCCUCUUUAGUAGUAAAAGAGAUUAAUUGUAUGAUAAUUGUUAGAAGUUAUGUUGAAAUGCGUUAUUGUUGAUGAUAUCAAGUAAGUAGUAUUAAGUAAGUGAUUUCCGAAUCACUUCUUAGUUUAUUUAAGCAAAGUUAUGUGCUAGUUACUUGAGCAUGGUAAUCAAUGCCUAUUAAGAUUUGGUUAUUUAGAAGCGAAGGUUUUCGCUAUGUAUACCAAAUGGUCAAAAUAAGGAAGUUUUACUAAUGAAGUUCACUUACGUAUAAUUGAUUGAAAUGAAUGAGUUUAACGCAUACCAGGAAUCGGGUUCA
This is a long non-coding RNA of Helianthus annuus (common sunflower), 550 nucleotides long. RefSeq lists it as uncharacterized. The record is from RefSeq and is a predicted model, not a curated record. NCBI's taxonomy places the organism in Eukaryota, Viridiplantae, Streptophyta, Magnoliopsida, Asterales, Asteraceae. The transcript has 2 exons.